Molecule: long non-coding RNA, 592 nt
Filed under: Monodelphis domestica (gray short-tailed opossum)
Lineage: Eukaryota; Metazoa; Chordata; Mammalia; Didelphimorphia; Didelphidae
Description: lncRNA (ENSMODG00000034958.2)
Source: RNAcentral
UUCAAAUCCCCCAACAGUUCUUUAAUUUAGAAUGCAUUACAGUUGGUAUUUAUAUGAGUUAACUGACAGCUGUAAGAAAUCAGCAUUGGGCUGUUGUGUAAGUUGAUUGAUAUUUGCAGACAAAAAGGCCUGAAGGACAAAGCCUAGGAAGAGAGAAAAGUGCCUUGUGAUCAUUUCUGCUUCUUCUUUCUUGAAACAUGGGCCCUGUGGGAAGUAGAAUCCUCUUUAUCUUCACAAGUUCUACAGACAUUUUUAACCAAAGGGAACUGUCAUUCCCAUGGAUACUACUAAAUUAAAAUCUUUUGAGUGCAUAUCUUUGUUGUUUGGAAGGCACUGUAGUUUUCUGCAUUUAAUACAACCAUCACAUCUGGAAAGAGGAAUAUGUGGACAAUCUUAUCUUCAACAAGAUAUCAUUUUGGGUUGGAGGAGGGAGAAUAUGGAUGUUUCAACUACUUUUCUCAGACUGGUCUUGGCUCCCUCAACUGCUGCAAGCAACAUCAAACAGCGAACAAGGAUGAGUGGCUACACAUAUAUUUUUGUUUAAUAGCUGUGGUAAUAUAGCAAUAGUAAUAAAGUGGAGCAAGAAGGAACA